GACGAACGCUGGCGGCGUGCUUAACACAUGCAAGUCGAACGGAAAGGCCCUGCUUUUGUGGGGUGCUCGAGUGGCGAACGGGUGAGUAACACGUGAGUAACCUGCCCUUGACUUUGGGAUAACUUCAGGAAACUGGGGCUAAUACCGGAUAGGAGCUCCUGCUGCAUGGUGGGGGUUGGAAAGUUUCGGCGGUUGGGGAUGGACUCGCGGCUUAUCAGCUUGUUGGUGGGGUAGUGGCUUACCAAGGCUUUGACGGGUAGCCGGCCUGAGAGGGUGACCGGCCAAAUUGGGAAUGAGGUACGGCCCAGACUCCUACGGGGGGCAGCAGUGGGGAAUAUUGUCCCAUGGGGGGAAGCCUGAUGCAGCAACGCCGCGUGCGGGAUGAAGGCCUUCGGGUUGUAAACCGCUUUAGCCUGUGACGAAGCGUGAGUGAAGGUAAUGGGUAAAGAAGCACCGGCUAACUACGUG
Molecule: ribosomal RNA, 468 nt
Filed under: uncultured bacterium
Lineage: Bacteria
Description: partial 16S ribosomal RNA
Rfam family: Bacterial small subunit ribosomal RNA
Source: RNAcentral